RNAcentral lists this ribosomal RNA (492 nucleotides) under uncultured bacterium. RNAcentral's name for it is "partial 16S ribosomal RNA". It matches the Rfam family "Bacterial small subunit ribosomal RNA", at positions 29 to 507 of the family's 1533-position model. The record is from RNAcentral.
AGUGAACGCUGGCGGCAGGCCUAACACAUGCAAGUCGUACGGCAGCACAGUAAGAGCUUGCUAUUACUGGUGGCGAGUGGCGGACGGGUGAGGAAUACAUCGGAAUCUACUUUUUCGUGGGGGAUAACGUAGGGAAACUUACGCUAAUACCCCAUACGACCUACGGGUGAAAGCAGAGGAUCUUCGGGCUUUGCGCGAUUGAGUGAGCCGAUGUCGGAUUAGCUAGUUGGCGGGGUAAAUGCCCACCAAGGCGACGAUCCGUAGCUGGUCUGAGAGGAUGAUGCGCAACACUGUAACUGAGACACGGCACUGACACCUACGGGAGGCAGCAGUGGGGAAUAGUGGACAAUGGGCGCAAGUCUGCUCCAGCCAUACCGCGCGGGUGAAGAAGGCCUUCGGGCUGUAAAGCCCUUUUGGGGGGAAAGAAACGCAGCAGGAUAAUACCCCGCUGUUCUGACGGUACCCAAAGAAGAAGCACCGGCUAACUUCGUG